UACGUAGGGUGCGAGCGUUGUCCGGAUUUAUUGGGCGUAAAGAGCUCGUAGGCGGUUCGGUAAGUCGGAUGUGAAAUCUCCAGGCUCAACCUGGAGGGGUCAUUCGAUACUGCCGUGACUAGAGGUCGGUAGGGGAGUGUGGAAUUCCUGGUGGAGCGGUGAAAUGCGCAGAUAUCAGGAGGAACACCCGUAGCGAAGGCGGCACUCUGGGCCGAUACUGACACUGAGGAGCGAAAGCGUGGGGAGCGAACAGG
Molecule: ribosomal RNA, 254 nt
Filed under: uncultured bacterium
Lineage: Bacteria
Description: partial 16S ribosomal RNA
Rfam family: Bacterial small subunit ribosomal RNA
Source: RNAcentral